GGCAUCGUGGCCGAGUGGCUAGGCGGAGCUCUGCAAAAGCUUUUACAGCGGUUCGAAUCCGCUCGAUGCCU
Molecule: transfer RNA, 71 nt
Filed under: Flavobacteriaceae bacterium
Lineage: Bacteria; Pseudomonadati; Bacteroidota; Flavobacteriia; Flavobacteriales; Flavobacteriaceae
Also listed under: 1 other name
Description: tRNA-Cys
Rfam family: tRNA
About the family: Transfer RNA (tRNA) molecules are approximately 80 nucleotides in length.
Source: RNAcentral